Molecule: ribosomal RNA, 575 nt
Filed under: uncultured bacterium
Lineage: Bacteria
Description: bacterial SSU rRNA
Rfam family: Bacterial small subunit ribosomal RNA
Source: RNAcentral
CUCUUGAGAGCGGCGGACGGGUGAGUAAUGCCUAGGAAUCUGCCUGGUAGUGGGGGAUAACGUUCGGAAACGGACGCUAAUACCGCAUACGUCCUACGGGAGAAAGCAGGGGACCUUCGGGCCUUGCGCUAUCAGAUGAGCCUAGGUCGGAUUAGCUAGUUGGUGAGGUAAUGGCUCACCAAGGCGACGAUCCGUAACUGGUCUGAGAGGAUGAUCAGUCACACUGGAACUGAGACACGGUCCAGACUCCUACGGGAGGCAGCAGUGGGGAAUAUUGGACAAUGGCGAAAGCCUGAUCCAGCCAUGCCGCGUGUGUGAAGAAGGUCUUCGGAUUGCAAAGCACUUUAAGUUGGGAGGAAGGACAGUAAAUUAAUACUUUGCUGUUUUGACGUUACCGACAGAAUAAGCACCGGCUAACUCUGUGCCAGCAGCCGCGGUAAUACAGAGGGUGCAAGCGUUAAUCGGAAUUACUGGGCGUAAAGCGCGCGUAGGUGGUUUGUUAAGUUGGAUGUGAAAUCCCCGGGCUCAACCUGGGAACUGCAUUCGAAACUGACUGACUAGAGUAUGGUAGAGGG